CAAAUUAGAGCUUAUAAAGUAUUUUAUUUACAUUAAAAAGUUAGUUGUGAAAUUCAAUUUAAUUUGA
This 67-nucleotide transfer RNA is filed under the name Staphylinidae sp. BMNH 1274706. RNAcentral describes it as "tRNA-Val". Lineage: Eukaryota; Metazoa; Arthropoda; Insecta; Coleoptera; Staphylinidae. The record is from RNAcentral.